This 122-nucleotide ribosomal RNA is filed under the name Pteropus alecto (black flying fox). The record is from RNAcentral. Lineage: Eukaryota; Metazoa; Chordata; Mammalia; Chiroptera; Pteropodidae.
GUCUACGGCCAUGCUACCUUGAACAAGCCUGAUCCCGUCUGAUCUCGGAAGCUACUAAGCAAGGUUGGGCCUGGUUAGUACUUGGAUGAGAGACCACCUAGGAAGACCAGGUGUUGUAGGUG